GGCCUUUUGAGUUUGAUUUAAGGUCAGGCCUGCCCAAUGAGCAUUUAAUGGCUGCAGUAUUUUGACUGUACAAAGGUAGCAUAAUCAUUAGUUUCUUAAUUAGAAGCUGGUAUGAAUGGUUAAAUGAGAAAAUAGCUGUCUUUAAUUGAAUUUUUAAAGAACUUUAUUUUUGAGUAAAAAAGCUUAAAUUUUUUUAAAAGACGAGAAGACCCUAUAGAGUUUAAUAGUUAGAUUUAUAAAAGUUUUAGGUAUUAAUAAUUUUUAUAUUAAUAAUUAUUUGAUUGGGGUGAUUAGAAAAUUUAAUUAACUUUUGUUUUAUUAAAACAUAAAUUUAUGAGUAAUUGAUCCACUUUUUGUGAUUAUAAGAUUAAAUUACCUUAGGGAUAACAGCGUAAUUUUUUUAGCGAGUUCUUAUCAAUAAAAAAGUUUGCGACCUCGAUGUUGGAUUAAAAUUAACUUUUGGUGCAGUAGCUGAAAAGUUAGGUCUGUUCGACCUUUAAAAUUUUACA
Molecule: ribosomal RNA, 509 nt
Filed under: Enochrus testaceus
Lineage: Eukaryota; Metazoa; Arthropoda; Insecta; Coleoptera; Hydrophilidae
Description: partial 16S ribosomal RNA
Rfam family: Bacterial large subunit ribosomal RNA
Source: RNAcentral